Molecule: ribosomal RNA, 468 nt
Filed under: uncultured bacterium
Lineage: Bacteria
Description: partial 16S ribosomal RNA
Rfam family: Bacterial small subunit ribosomal RNA
Source: RNAcentral
GACGAACGCUGGCGGCGUGCUUAACACAUGCAAGUCGAACGGAAAGGCCCUGCUUUUGUGGGGUGCUUGAGUGGCGAACGGGUGAGUAACACGUGAGUAACCUGCCCUUGACUUUGGGAUAACUUCAGGAAACUGGGGCUAAUACCGGAUAGGAGCUCCUGCUGCAUGGUGGGGGUUGGAAAGUUUCGGCGGUUGGGGAUGGACUCGCGGCUUAUCAGCUUGUUGGUGGGGUAGUGGCUUACCAAGGCUUUGACGGGUAGCCGGCCUGAGAGGGUGACCGGCCACAUUGGGACUGAGAUACGGCCCAGACUCCUACGGGAGGCAGCAGUGGGGAAUAUUGCACAAUGGACGUAAGCCUGUUGCAGAAACGCCGCGUGCGGGAUGACGGCCUUCGGGUUGUAAACCGCUUUCGCCUGUGACGAAGCGUGAGUGACGGUAAUGGGUAAAGAAGCACCGGCUAACUACGUG